CCAUCGGGAUGGUUUUGUGUGAAGGUAAAAUCACGUUAAACAACUACCAUGAAGGAUAGAAAAGAACCAACAAACGAGUAAUAAAAGAGAAAGAUAGAUUGUUACCAAUACAGAUUUCGUAGAACAUCUUUUCUGCAAGUAUCACAAAUAUAUAAUAUCGAGGUCUUGAGGCACUGGAGAGAAAUCAUCUUGAAAAAGAUAGAGAAUCUAGAUCUGGUAUCUAUACAGGUUGACUGUCCAGUUGUGAGAAUUUUGAAAUAAUAUAAUGUCGAGAAAUUGUGUGUACGUACGUGAGAUUGAAUUUUUAAAAAGCCUUGCAAGGACAAGGACAAGGACAAAAAUAAAUGUGAGAAAAAAAAAAAAUACUUUGAACUUGGAUGAAAACAGUACAGAAGAAAAUUUAACACUUGGAUAAUAUCUUACGUGAAUGGAUGAAAUAAAUUUGCAAUUAACAAUUACGUAUAUU
Long non-coding RNA from Aphidius gifuensis, 466 nucleotides. RefSeq lists it as uncharacterized. The record is from RefSeq and is a predicted model, not a curated record. NCBI's taxonomy places the organism in Eukaryota, Metazoa, Arthropoda, Insecta, Hymenoptera, Braconidae. The transcript has 3 exons.